GGAAGGCAGCCGGAUACGGUUGGCCGGGCCUCGGUGCUAACGAGGUUGCCCUUCCGGGCAUGAGGGUUCGAAUCCCUCGCCUUCCGC
This 87-nucleotide transfer RNA is filed under the name Aquisphaera giovannonii. Its description in RNAcentral is "tRNA-Ser". The record is from RNAcentral. Lineage: Bacteria; Pseudomonadati; Planctomycetota; Planctomycetia; Isosphaerales; Isosphaeraceae.